CUUAUGUAGGCAGCUAGAGGAAUGG
This 25-nucleotide non-coding RNA is filed under the name Cricetulus griseus (Chinese hamster). The record is from RNAcentral. Lineage: Eukaryota; Metazoa; Chordata; Mammalia; Rodentia; Cricetidae.